This 939-nucleotide ribosomal RNA is filed under the name uncultured bacterium. RNAcentral's name for it is "bacterial SSU rRNA". It matches the Rfam family "Bacterial small subunit ribosomal RNA", at positions 1 to 924 of the family's 1533-position model. The record is from RNAcentral.
GCCCUUAGAGUUUGAUCCUGGCUCAGAACGAACGCUGGCGGCGUGCUUAACACAUGCAAGUCCGACGUGAAAGGGGAGCAAUCCCCCGGUAGGGUGGCGAACGGGUGAGUAAGACAUGGGAAUCUGUCCUUGAGAUGGGGAUAUCCUUCCGAAAGGAGGGUUAAUACCGAAUACCGUCCGGUGGAUGAGAGUUCAUCGGGGAAAGGGAGGCCUCUGGCAACAUGCUUCCGCUCAAGGAGGAGCCCAUGGCCCAUCAGCUAGUUGGGAGGGUAACGGCCUACCAAGGCGAAGACGGGUAGCUGGUCUGAGAGGACGAUCAGCCACACUGGCACUGAGACACGGGCCAGACUCCUACGGGAGGCAGCAGUGAGGAAUUUUGCGCAAUGGGGGCAACCCUGACGCAGCAACGCCGCGUGUGGGAAGAAGGCUUUCGGGUUGUAAACCACUUUUGUAAGGGACGAAGUCCUUUCGGCAAAUAACCGAGGGGGAUGACGGUACCUUGCGAAUAAGCCACGGCUAACUCUGUGCCAGCAGCCGCGGUAAGACAGGGGUGGCAAGCGUUGUUCGGAGUAACUGGGCGUAAAGGGUCUGUAGGUGGUUUUUCAAGUCUUUGGUAAAACGCCGUGGCUCAACCAUGGUUUGGCCAAGGAGACUGGGAGACUCGAGGCUGGGAGAGGGAAGCGGAAUUUCUGGUGUAGCGGUGAAAUGCGUAGAGAUCAGAAAGAAGGCCGGUGGCGAAGGCGGCUUCCUGGAACAGACCUGACACUGAGAGACGAAAGCGUGGGGAGCAAACAGGAUUAGAUACCCUGGUAGUCCACGCCCUAAACGAUGGGAACUAAGUGUGGGGAGCAAUCCCCGUGCCGCAGCUAACGCAAUAAGUUCCCCGCCUGGGGAGUACGGCCGCAAGGUUGAAACUCAAAUGAAUUGACGGGGAAGGGC